GCUUCGGUAGUGUAGUGGUAGAGCACGCGUUCCCGGCUGGCAUGAAACGCGGGUUCGAUUCCCGCCUGAGGCC
Molecule: non-coding RNA, 73 nt
Organism: Parelaphostrongylus tenuis
Lineage: Eukaryota; Metazoa; Nematoda; Chromadorea; Rhabditida; Metastrongylidae
Source: the annotation of a GenBank genome assembly